Molecule: long non-coding RNA, 436 nt
Filed under: Mus spicilegus (steppe mouse)
Lineage: Eukaryota; Metazoa; Chordata; Mammalia; Rodentia; Muridae
Description: lncRNA (ENSMSIG00000022040.1)
Source: RNAcentral
UAUAAGAAGUGAACAUAACUAUUUUACUAGUGGUCACAUUUACUAAAUGCAGUAAGCUUUCUGUGGCUUUUGUUUUGUCAGGUAUUGCUGCUUUCAUGCUGGGUUCCACGGCCUGAAUGGUGCUUCCAUCCUGGAGUCAGUUGUGCUAAGGUCUCGGGCCUGUUACACAUCAAAAGUAAAGACAGAAACAUACUUAUUCUCUACUGUGACAAUUAUACCAGGGAGAUGUAUGGUACACCAGGGGGACGGAACUGCAAAUGGCUGAAAGCAUGUCCUACAGUCCUGCGAGAGGAGAGUUCCACAGAUAUCACAGGGAGUGCCAUGCCAUCUGAGUCUCCUGCCUUCUGCUGGAACCAAAAGCCAUGUCGCGUUACUGAAGACACAAGCCAGUGAGAGCUGGACCCAGUGGUGUGGUUUGGUCCCAGCUACCCAAGAG